CAGCCGCCGCGGUAAUACGAAGAGUGCAAGCGUUACUCGGAAUUACUGGGCGUAAAGCGUGCGUAGGUGGUGGUUUAAGUCCGUUGUGAAAGCCCUGGGCUCAACCUGGGAAUUGCAGUGGAUACUGGGUCACUAGAGUGUGGUAGAGGAUAGUGGAAUUUCCGGUGUAGCAGUGAAAUGCGUAGAGAUCGGAAGGAACAUCUGUGGCGAAGGCGACUAUCUGGGCCAACACUGACACUGAGGCACGAAAGCGUGGGGAGCAAACAGGAUUAGAUACCCCCGUAGUCCCUGUCUCUUAUAC
RNAcentral lists this ribosomal RNA (301 nucleotides) under uncultured bacterium. RNAcentral describes it as "partial 16S ribosomal RNA". It matches the Rfam family "Bacterial small subunit ribosomal RNA", at positions 509 to 807 of the family's 1533-position model. The record is from RNAcentral.